UAAAGAAAUCAUGAAGAAGAUGGCAGUACCUCUCAUGCUUUGUCUCGUUAUCUUGUCAAGUCUGCUUACCUUCGGUCAAGCUCAAGGGCCAUUCUGUACUGUGACUGAACAGUUUCCGGGAAAAUGUCCAUCUGAGAAUCUUGGUUGCUUCAUCGAGAUGUCAGGAAAGUAUGGUGCAAGUAGCAUGCUUCACGGAUGCCAUUGCACACAAUUUACGUCUGACCACACUUGCGCAUGUCAAGCGCUUUGCUCUCCUCCACUUUAGCCAUGUCAUCUUCCAACAAUGUAAUAAUUCGCCAAACACAUUGGCAAGAUUAAUAAUUGGUGGAUUUGUUCACCAUUUUUAUUUAAUAAUAUCGGUACUAAAAUUAUGUUUUGA
Vitis vinifera (wine grape) is the source of this 379-nucleotide long non-coding RNA. RefSeq lists it as uncharacterized. The record is from RefSeq and is a predicted model, not a curated record. Lineage: Eukaryota; Viridiplantae; Streptophyta; Magnoliopsida; Vitales; Vitaceae. The transcript has 2 exons.